GACGAACGCUGGCGGCGUGCUUAACACAUGCAAGUCGAGCGGUAAGGCCCUUUCGGGGGUACACGAGCGGCGAACGGGUGAGUAACACGUGGGUGACCUGCCUUUAGCUCUGGGAUAAGCCUGGGAAACCGGGUCUAAUACCGGAUAUGACUCCGCGGCGCAUGUUGUGGGGUGGAAAGCCUUGUGCGGCUGGAGAUGGGCCCGCGGCCUAUCAGCUUGUUGGUGGGGUGAUGGCCUACCAAGGCGACGACGGUAGCCGGCCUGAGAGGGCGACCGGCCACACUGGGACUGAGACACGGCCCAGACUCCUACGGGAGGCAGCAGUGGGGAAGUCUUGGGCGAAUGGGCGAAAGCCUGACCCAGCGACGCCGCGUGAGGGAUGAAGGCCUUCGGUCGU
This 397-nucleotide ribosomal RNA is filed under the name uncultured bacterium. Its description in RNAcentral is "bacterial SSU rRNA". It matches the Rfam family "Bacterial small subunit ribosomal RNA", at positions 28 to 426 of the family's 1533-position model. The record is from RNAcentral.